RNAcentral lists this microRNA precursor (56 nucleotides) under Gadus morhua (Atlantic cod). RNAcentral describes it as "microRNA gmo-mir-11271 precursor". The record is from miRBase by way of RNAcentral. Lineage: Eukaryota; Metazoa; Chordata; Actinopteri; Gadiformes; Gadidae.
AACAAUUUUCGAUCUCUGUGUAUACAGAUCUUCUUACACACAUGUCGAAACUUGAU